GGCUUUUUCACCUGCUUUGUUUUGCAUUUGGCUUUUCAGGAGGCAGUUGUGCGUGCUAUUUCCGCGGAAUGCUUCAAGUUUUCUUUCUUUCGUUCCUCUUUGGCUGUGCUUUGCUAUGCUGCGCCAAGCUGUCCGAUGGGCCUUUUCUCUCUGUGUUGUUUUCCUUUGCUUUGUAGCCUUUUUCUUUCCUAUCUUUCUAAUUGGUUUUGCCUUGCCUUGCUUUGCUUUGCUGUGUUCCUUUCCUUUCUUUGCAUUUGCAGAUGACUUUUCUCUGCUGCUCCUCUGGCUCGGCUUUUGCAUUGUUUGUUUUUCAUUGCUGUUGCUUCUUUACCGCGCGGUUCCUUUCUUUGCAUGCCUUGCAUGCCUUGCUUGGUGGAUUCCUUUUCUCUUCCUUUGAAAUGGAUUUUCUUUGCUUUCCAUGGCUUUCCUCUCCUUUUCCUUUCUUUUCACGCUCCUUUUCCCUCCCUUCCUUUCGCUUCCUUGGCGCCAUGCCCUUCCCUUUCCUUUGAGCUUACCUUCGCUUCCCUGACGUGAUCUCUCUUGAUUGUUUCUCUCUCUCUUCUUUUCCGACGUGUUUAACUCAAGCCUCGUCUCUGCGCUUUCCUCCAGUGUAGGAAAUCAGCGGGAGAAAUGCGACGGCCAUAGUAGAUAAUCAGCAAAUCUCGUUUAUUGUUUCAGCUGCAUGUACAUUUAUAGUGUGGAUAAUAGGCUCAUACAUACUGCUAAAGUGGAGCUCAGGAUUGGCUCGCUAGUCAGUGUCAACUACGCCUAACUUUGUGCUCUGUGGUUAUCUCACAGCAAACACUCUCUUACAGACUUCUCAAAACACUGUUGCCGGCUUUCUCCAUUGGCAUCCUGUUUUGUUCCUAGUUCUCAUACCUGACCUUGCACGUAACAAGGUUGCUUAACCAGCUGCACAGUGUCUGCAUGGCUUUUCUCAGUCAGCCAGUCAUCAGUAAAUCUCUCCACACUCCAGUGCCUGCUGGAUUUGCAGGUGUUUCUCAAUUGCAGGGAUGGGUUCCUGCCUCCUGGGUGUCCUUGCUUCUUCCCUGGGGGUGGUCUUCAGGCUGUUCAUCUGAUGGCUGGGUAGAUCCAUGCCCGGUAGCUACCCUUUCCUCCUCCUUGGCAUGACCUGGAGG
This 1139-nucleotide long non-coding RNA is filed under the name Gallus gallus (chicken). RNAcentral describes it as "lncRNA (ENSGALG00010002058.1)". The record is from RNAcentral. Lineage: Eukaryota; Metazoa; Chordata; Aves; Galliformes; Phasianidae.